UACAGAGGUCCCGAGCGUUGUUCGGAUUCACUGGGCGUAAAGGGUGCGUAGGUGGCGAGGAAAGUCGGAUGUGAAAGCCCCGGGCUCAACCCGGGAAGUGCACUCGAAACUUCCGAGCUUGAGUUCUGGAGAGGAUAGCGGAAUUCUCGGUGUAGAGGUGAAAUUCGUAGAUAUCGAGAGGAACACCGGUGGCGAAGGCGGCUAUCUGGACAGUGACUGACGCUGAGACGCGAAAGCGUGGGGAGCAAACAGG
This 253-nucleotide ribosomal RNA is filed under the name uncultured bacterium. RNAcentral describes it as "partial 16S ribosomal RNA". It matches the Rfam family "Bacterial small subunit ribosomal RNA", at positions 524 to 776 of the family's 1533-position model. The record is from RNAcentral.